RNAcentral lists this long non-coding RNA (1349 nucleotides) under Homo sapiens (human). RNAcentral's name for it is "HSALNT0278573". The record is from RNAcentral. Lineage: Eukaryota; Metazoa; Chordata; Mammalia; Primates; Hominidae.
AUGGAGUCAUUGGUGAUGAAACAAACAUAAUUUUAAGGGCUUUCAUUUUACUGGAAACUUCCUUGUGAGGUAGGUACAAUCAUCACCCCCAUAUUACAGAGGAAGACACUGAGGCACAUGAGUCAGUCCCUGCCAUUCUGAAGUGCCCGUGCUAGACUGGGGCUUGUAACAGGUGGGGAGAGAAGCCACCGUGCAGGACCUAUUUUGCUGGGGCGUGUGUAGCAGGCUCAGCCCAGCUCUGGACACAGUGGUUCUGGUGGUGGCUUCUGACUCUGGAUCACAGCCACAUAGAUGUAGCAGCAGUCACAGUCCCAGCAGCAAAGAGACGGUAUAUUCCCAUGUGCUAACUGAAGACUGUUUAAUAAAGGGACAGCUGGGGCAGGGUUAAAGGAACCCAGAAGAGACAGUGCUACACCCCAGGCUAGCAACAUGGGGAGCUGUUACUUCUUCAAAACCUAGAGGGUGAAGGAGGGAGUGGGUGGCAGAGCCCAGGAACAGAAUCACUGAAGCUCUAAGAGGGGCCUCGGGAUAGGAGCUGUGGCCUUUGGUAGAGGGACACAGCCAGCUCAUGGUGAACCAGCAGAAGGGCACAGCUGGAGGAAUCAAUGACCAAGCCUCACUCUCCUCCCUCCUGCCAGGGCCUCCCCUGCCCACAUCCAGCCAGAAGCCAGAGAAAAGAAGUCCCCUGCUGCGGCCCAUAGAUGUGAGGAGAGAAAAUGGUGGGGAGUGGAUCUGCAGAGGUGAACCUAAAGCAUUCAACCCAGAAAGCAUGCUUCUAGGGCCAGCCUGACUCGGCAGCUUCCUUCAGGAGCCAGCUCUGCAGUAUUCUUCCAAGAGUCCUUGCUGGAGGCGCUGCCUCCAGCCUUCCAACAGCUUGAGAAUCACACAGCUUCCUAUGUUAGAUUCCUUUCUCCUCCAAACAACUGAAGAGACUCUAAUCAUCGGCAACUGAAUCCCAAUUAACUUCGGAUUUGUUACCAGAAACAAUUGCAGGCAACACGACCUCCAGGAUGGGAACUGGGAUUGGUUACUUGUUCUGGUUGAUUUAAAGGCAGUGGGGACCUAGUAACUGUUAGAGAAUGGAGUUCUAAUAGAUCGUAGCCUGUGAUGGCAAAAUAAUUACCUGUCAUCACUCAGAACGAAGUACCUAUUAAAUUGUGGCUUUGGCAGAGUUGUGGCUUCCAUACGCAAUACGAGCACAGGUUAUCUAAGGACUGUGGGGUGAGCUUGUUAUCAUCACACCAAAGAGUUUAAAGCAAGAAAAGGACAGUCCCAGGGCUUUACAUUCUCAGCUCAAGGUAUGUGCAGAAUACAGGGAGUUCUCUGAUAGCCCUCAAAGCUAUCUCUCA